This is a long non-coding RNA of Anneissia japonica, 1514 nucleotides long. RefSeq lists it as uncharacterized. Lineage: Eukaryota; Metazoa; Echinodermata; Crinoidea; Comatulida; Comatulidae. The record is from RefSeq and is a predicted model, not a curated record. The transcript has 2 exons.
AAAUCAUCAUAGUUAAUACUGAUUGCAAAUCCAGAUGUUCACAUACUGUAAUCAAUAUAGUUCGUCCUAGGCGCGCCAUUCCGCAGGCCUACUAUCGAUUAGGCAUCGUGUCACCUCGGCCCAAGAGCGUGCCGCCCGUAGCAAACAGGCUGUGCUGCCACCAAGGGUUUGGUUCUCGGGGAAACGCGAAACAGGAUAGCGAAAGCUCACUAUUUCUUUUUGUUUUUUUUUUUAUAUUUGUAACGAGAACGGGUAUUUUUUUUCUCCGCAGAUUGGUUCUCGAACGAGAUAGCGAAAGCUCUUAUCUCUACUAUAAGCGAUAAGGCUAGGUGGUAGUCACGGACCACACCUAGUGUAAUAUUUAGUGGUCGGUUGGCCGGAAGUGAUUUUCAGUGAGAUAUAAACAGAGUUCUUUUGUACCAAUAUACUGCAAAGCUUUUAUUAUAAUAAUCACAAUAAUAAUGAUAAUAAUAAUAAGAAUAAUAAAAUAAUCAUAAUUAUAAUUCGAUUAUUUUAUCGAUGGUAGUCAUUGUAUUUUACUUGUAAAUUGUUAUAUUUUCUAUAGUGACUAUUUUGUAUGUUUUUUCAUAUUUGUUUUACAUUUUAUAAUAUAAUAUGUGAUGACGAGCAGAAGAAUUUCCCUUGUGGAACAAUAAAGUUAUCUUAUCUUAUCUUAUCUUAUCUUAUCUUAUUCAUCACUUAUCUUACCAUAUUCAUUAACUAUCCUACUGUACAUAUAUACAAUCGACUACUAACUCCAGGACACUCAGAUGUUAGAGUUCAACCUAUUCCGAGUGGAGUCAGUUCGUAAUCUCUUCUCUCAUAAAUUCAUAGUGUGAGAAAGGUGAAGUCCAAUUGACUAGGGUAAAGUUAUAGAAUGACCAAUUGUAUGUUUAGAUUAUCUGCAUACUAAGGUUGACCAUUAAAACUGUCAAACUAAUUUAAGACAUUUAACAGGUGAAGGGUUAUUGAUGAUAUACAAAUUGCAAUGGUUAUAUAAGUUAAUAUUAUUGAACAUUACAUUACACUAUCACUGCGAGUUAUGGGUUAUUCUCAUACCAAAUAAUUACCUACCUUUACAUAUAAAAUAAAAAUCAUAGUGAUUAAAUUGAAAUAGAAUGACGCCAAUGACGCUUAAAACUUUCAAUCAUAGAUUCAUAGUGUGCGCAAGGUCAAGUCCAAUUGACUAGGUAGGGUAAAGUUAUAGAAUGACCAAUUGUAUUAUUAGAUUAUUUGUAUACUCAGGUUGACAAUUAAAAACUGUCAAACUAAUUUAAGACAUUUAACAGGUGAAAGGAUAUCGAUGAUAUACAAAUUCCAAUGGUUAUAUAAGUUAAUAUUAUUGAACCUUAAUACUACAUUACACUAUUACUGCGAGUUAUGGGUUAUUCUCAUACAAAAUUUUACCUACCUUUACAUAUUAAAUAAAAAUUCUAAUGAUUAAACUGAAAUACAAUGACGUCAAAAAUUAUAAUGAAACUAGUAACGAUUUGAAAUAAAUGCACUGAACAAAG